CUUGUACUCCCUCCGUCUGAAAAAACUUAUCUCUCAAAUUAAUGUAUCUAGCCUCAAGUUUAUGCUAAAUACAUCCAUUUGAGAAACAAGAUUGGGACAAGUUUUUUCGAACGGAGGGAGUACAAU
Non-coding RNA from Triticum aestivum (bread wheat), 126 nucleotides. The record is from Rfam. NCBI's taxonomy places the organism in Eukaryota, Viridiplantae, Streptophyta, Magnoliopsida, Poales, Poaceae.